UGGGGGAUAUUGCACAAUGGGGGAAACCCUGAUGCAGCGACGCCGCGUGGAGGAAGAAGGUUUUCGGAUUGUAAACUCCUGUCGUUAGGGACGAUAAUGACGGUACCUAACAAGAAAGCACCGGCUAACUACGUGCCAGCAGCCGCGGUAAAACGUAGGGUGCAAGCGUUGUUCGGAAUUACUGGGUGUAAAGGGAGCGCAGGCGGACCGGCAAGUUGGAAGUGAAAACUAUGGGCUCAACCCAUAAAUUGCUUUCAAAACUGCUGGCCUUGAGUAGUGCAGAGGUAGGUGGAAUUCCCGGUGUAGCGGUGGAAUGCGUAGAUAUCGAGAGGAACACCAGUGGCGAAGGCGACCUACUGGGCACCAACUGACGCUGAGGCUCGAAAGCAUGGGUAGCAAACAGG
Molecule: ribosomal RNA, 404 nt
Filed under: Bacillota bacterium
Lineage: Bacteria; Bacillati; Bacillota
Description: Firmicutes bacterium partial 16S ribosomal RNA
Rfam family: Bacterial small subunit ribosomal RNA
Source: RNAcentral